AUUGAACGCUGGCGGCAUGCCUUACACAUGCAAGUCGAACGGUAACGGGCCUUCGGGUGCCGACGAGUGGCGAACGGGUGAGUAAUGCAUCGGAACGUACCUUUCAGUGGGGGAUAACGUAGCGAAAGUUACGCUAAUACCGCAUAUUCUGUGAGCAGGAAAGCAGGGGAUCGCAAGACCUUGCGCUGAUUGAGCGGCCGAUGUCAGAUUAGCUAGUUGGUGAGGUAAAGGCUCACCAAGGCGACGAUCUGUAGCGGGUCUGAGAGGAUGAUCCGCCACACUGGAACUGAGACACGGUCCAGACUCCUACGGGAGGCAGCAGUGGGGAAUUUUGGACAAUGGGGGCAACCCUGAUCCAGCCAUGCCGCGUGAGUGAAGAAGGCCUUCGGGUUGUAAAGCUCUUUCGGUCGGGAAGAAAUCGCAUGGGUUAAUACCCUGUGCGGAUGACGGUACCGGCAUAAGAAGCACCGGCUAACUACGUGCCAGCCGCCGCCGUAA
Molecule: ribosomal RNA, 498 nt
Filed under: uncultured bacterium
Lineage: Bacteria
Description: partial 16S ribosomal RNA
Rfam family: Bacterial small subunit ribosomal RNA
Source: RNAcentral